GAUGAACGCUAGCGAUAGGCCUAACACAUGCAAGUCGAGCGAAGUAUUCAAGAUAGAUUUCUUCGGAUUGAAGUCUUGAAUAUCUUAGCGGCGAACGGGUGAGUAACGCGUGAGAAACCUGCCUUUCACAAAGGGAUAGCCUCGGGAAACUGGGAUUAAUACCUUAUGAUACUUACAUUUCACAUGAGAAGUAAGUUAAAGCGCAAAGCGGUAGAAAGAUGGUCUCGCGUCCCAUUAGUUAGUUGGUGAGGUAAC
RNAcentral lists this ribosomal RNA (255 nucleotides) under uncultured bacterium. Its description in RNAcentral is "partial 16S ribosomal RNA". It matches the Rfam family "Bacterial small subunit ribosomal RNA", at positions 28 to 261 of the family's 1533-position model. The record is from RNAcentral.